Molecule: non-coding RNA, 109 nt
Organism: Acanthosepion pharaonis
Lineage: Eukaryota; Metazoa; Mollusca; Cephalopoda; Sepiida; Sepiidae
Source: the annotation of a GenBank genome assembly
UUAUGGCCAUAUCACAUUGAAACACCAGUUUCCAUACAAUCAGUGAAGUUAAGCAACAUUGAACCUAGUCAGUACCUAGAUGGGUGACCCUUUGGGAAUACCAGCUUGG